Molecule: small RNA, 2301 nt
Filed under: Rattus norvegicus (Norway rat)
Lineage: Eukaryota; Metazoa; Chordata; Mammalia; Rodentia; Muridae
Description: uncharacterized LOC102546421
Source: RNAcentral
CCUUAAACUUUUCCUCUUCAAUUGUUUUUAAUUUCCGUUUUUCUUUAAAUGCCUUCACUUCUUAAGUGAGCGGAAGGAGCUAAGGGCUGAAAGAAAAGGCCCAGUGAGAAGGAAAUCACUUCUGGCUUUUCAGACCUUUUCACUUGUCCCUUUCUCCACCGUUGGCCCAAGAUUCACACCCGGCAACUGAGUUUUAGACCUCUUCCUUCAUUCAGGGCCUAGACCAGAGUCUGCACUUAGCCUUCAGUAUAAAUAGUUGGAUAAAGGAUAGCUUCCUUGGGCGGAAUGCCCUCAGAUCAGCUCACUUUGAGGGUGUAGUUUUUUUUUUUUUUCUACUCAGCUGAAAGGCAGAUAAACACAUAUGUUUUACAUUGGUGUUAUUUAUAUAGCUAUGCCCCCAAAGGGGGGGGGUAAAGUUGUUGGAAAUAUUUUUCUUGGUCUUGUUCAUAUACAUAUAUGCUGUGAAUUUUAGGAUGUUGAAGUUACUCUUAAGGCGUUUCCUUUACAUUUUGAUGUCUUUAAAAAACGAUUUUACUUCUUUCAUAAGAGGUGAAGACCUUGCAAAAUGAAGCUAAUCUCUUUUAGAAACUAAGAGAUUUCUUACCUCCUGCUGCUUUAUUACAAUUGAACACUUUUUCAACCGAGUCACUUUCUUUGUUGUGUUUCGAAUGGUUUGAUGAUUCUUAUUCUUUAUCAUAACUUUUAUUUUUUUGAAUGCCGUAACCAUUUUUUUAUAUAACCAGGCAAGCAAUUUUAGGUUUGGAAAUGUGUAAGACUAAAUUCAGUCAGUUGGUACAUACAUAUUAAAUACAUAUUCUACUGAGCACCAGUUGUGUAAUCCACGGACUAUUCCCUAGAGCGUUUUAAGUCCUACUCUCAUUGAUUGUAAAAUAGUGAAAUUAUAUAACCAAUGAGCUAAUAAGCAUGAAACUAAUUUGAAAGGUUAUAAUUGCUAAUCAAAUGUAAAGCAUAUUUAUUAGCAUCAUUAUUAAAAGGUGCCAGAGGAUACAGAUAAAACCUGUUCCUAUCCUCUGGGAACUUACAAUCUAGUUGGGCAUAAAUAAUGAAAUGUAAAUUGAUAGAAAGAGCUCCUAAGCAGUGUUCAGUGUCUGGCGUAUUGAAGACAGAAAAUGAUUGCCUCACAUUAAUUUGUAGCCCUGACAUUCUUUUAACAGAAAUAUAAUACUGUAAGUAAUGGAAGGAUUAAUUAGGAAAAAAUUUCAUGGAAAAAAUGAAUUUGUCCUUCUUAAGUCAUGUGUGAAGAUUGGGGGCAUAUAAGCUGUUUGCUUGUGAGGGAUAAAAUGGUAUUAAGUGUGGGAUAGGAAAAACGCGAGGUGAAAGUGUAAACAACCUUACAAGAUCAUUAUUAUUGAUACAUUUCUAUAAAAUUUUGUUAAUUAGAUGUAUGCAUGGGGCAUGGGCAUGUGAAUGAAGGGAUAUGAGGAAGCCAGAGAAAUCAGAGCUCUCUGGAGAUGGAGUUACAGGCAGCUGUGAGCCACCGACAACACGGUGCUGAGAACCAAACAGGCUUCUCUGGAAGAGCAGCUUUGGCUCUUGACUUCUGGGCCAUCUCUUCCAUCCCCUGACACUUACUUCUACAUGAUUCUAUCUAAACUCUGAAUGUAAAGAAAAUUGAAGAGGAUUAAGAAAAGAUUCAGGGCUAAAGACUUUCAAAGACGAUCUGGGACAUUAUCAUCGCUUGUAAUCAAAAAGAAAAUAUUGCCCGUGAUAUUCUAUUUCUAAAAUUUAAUGGACCAUUUGAAUUGUCUACCCGUACAUUAGUAAAGCGUGAACUUUCAAGCAUGGAACUUUCAGGGCUGCUGAGAACUGUCUGGAACUCUCGAGUCCCUUUUUCUAAAAGUUAUUUUUGUAAAUUGCUGUAACAGUGGCUCAUCAGUCACUCUGAAAGGAAGUGAUCCUUGAUUAACAGUUGGCUGACACCAAGCUCCACAGAUGUGUAGCAACAGUACAGGUGCGACUUACAAAACAAGACAGAGCUUUACUCCUCCUUGGUACAAGGAAGGCUGGCAUGAUCAUCCACUUCACAUUAGAGGGUGUCUUAUCCACCAGUGUGCUGACACCAAGCAGGAAUUUCCAAGUAGAGAGCAGACUCCCUGUAGUCACAUGUCCCUGGUGAAAAUUGCUUCAUCAUUCUUCAGAAGGAAAAAAAUAAAAAGAAGAAGCAGAUUCUCUUCAGAAUCCUCUAUUCUCAGAAUGACUAGACAGAACUUUAUGCCAAAAUUCUUGCUCAUCUUCCUAUCUUCUAGUUCCAUAAAUAAAAAUAAAAUGUUAAUAAAUGGA